Long non-coding RNA from Pyrus x bretschneideri (Chinese white pear), 836 nucleotides. RefSeq lists it as uncharacterized. The record is from RefSeq and is a predicted model, not a curated record. NCBI's taxonomy places the organism in Eukaryota, Viridiplantae, Streptophyta, Magnoliopsida, Rosales, Rosaceae. The transcript is spliced from 2 exons.
AACUUCUCAAUUUUUCUCCAGUUCUUAAAUGAAGAAAAUCGCAGCCGACGAAGAAAAUCAAGGGGAUGAAUAGUGCAAAGAAAGUAAAGAAUCACAAGAAGGAAUCAAGAUCCAGAGGCUCGAUUCCUAUGGGUGUCGGUAUUGGACAGUGACGAGGCUAGGUAUUCGACAAAGGCACGAUUUGUUCCCAAACUGGAUGAUCCUCCGCUGCUUGACUCUCUCUGAUCUGCCUUUCUGAUUUUGGUCAAAUCCAACCAAUCAAGUUCAUGAAAAUAGAAAAUUAAUAAUUAAAAAAAUAAAAGAGUGAAAACCUAAAAAAUCUGAGAUUGGAAAAAGGAGCAUAAGAUGGAUCCAGUCCGUGUAUGACAAGACGAGGACAAGACCCCACGGUUGGGUGGGGCUGGGAAUGGGCAUGGGCGGAGAUUGGAGUUGCAGACGGCAAGGGGUAGGUAGAGGAAGACGAGUCGUCGUCGUCAUUGAAGAUGACGCAGUCAUGCAAGACGAGCAUGAGGACGCGGCGUGAGAGGGAAGACAUUCUUAGCUAGUCCUAACUCCCAAGGUAUUUGGGGAGCCUCGCUAGGACCGGCUAAGCAAGGUUUUAGUCAGAGCGAGUGAACUUUAGUCUCACUCUCACUAAAGUUAGUCCAAUGCUAACCUGUAAUCCAGUCUAGCCCAAUUAAACUUAGUCCAGCCUAGCCCAAUAAAACUUAGUGAGGGCAAACAAACGGGCACUUUGGGUUAUAAACCUUUUGUAACAACCUCAUUUAAAAAAUGGAGUCUCAACGAAACACUCAUGGUACUAUUUACUUUUAAUGAAAAAUCAUAUUUUUACAUUU